GGGCUUGUGGUGUAGCUUGGAUAUCACCGAGGCCUCCAAAGCCUCAGACCCGGGUUCGAAUCCCGGCAUGCCCG
Molecule: transfer RNA, 74 nt
Filed under: Candidatus Methanomassiliicoccus intestinalis Issoire-Mx1
Lineage: Archaea; Methanobacteriati; Thermoplasmatota; Thermoplasmata; Methanomassiliicoccales; Methanomassiliicoccaceae
Description: tRNA-Arg
Rfam family: tRNA
About the family: Transfer RNA (tRNA) molecules are approximately 80 nucleotides in length. Their secondary structure includes four short double-helical elements and three loops (D, anti-codon, and T loops). Further hydrogen bonds mediate the characteristic L-shaped molecular structure. tRNAs have two regions of fundamental functional importance: the anti-codon, which is responsible for specific mRNA codon recognition, and the 3' end, to which the tRNAs corresponding amino acid is attached (by aminoacyl-tRNA synthetases). tRNAs cope with the degeneracy of the genetic code in two manners: having more than one tRNA (with a specific anti-codon) for a particular amino acid; and 'wobble' base-pairing, i.e. permitting non-standard base-pairing at the 3rd anti-codon position.
Source: RNAcentral